RNAcentral lists this ribosomal RNA (254 nucleotides) under uncultured bacterium. RNAcentral's name for it is "partial 16S ribosomal RNA". It matches the Rfam family "Bacterial small subunit ribosomal RNA", at positions 524 to 776 of the family's 1533-position model. The record is from RNAcentral.
UACGGGGGGGGGCAAGCGUUGUUCGGAAUUACUGGGCGUAAAGGGCUCGUAGGUUGCCAACUAAGUCGGACGUGAAAUCCCUCAGCUUAACUGGGGAACUGCGUCCGAUACUGGAUGGCUUGAGUUUGGGAGAGGGAUGCGGAAUUCCAGGUGUAGCGGUGAAAUGCGUAGAUAUCUGGAGGAACACCGGUGGCGAAGGCGGCAUCCUGGACCAACACUGACACUGAGGAGCGAAAGCCAGGGGAGCAAACGGG